ACAUGUGAUUCAAAAAGUUUGAGGUUUGGGGAUGUCAUUCCUGUUAGUUGUAAUGGAUGCGAGAUGAUAAACUAUAAUUCCCUUCAUCUAGUUAAUUUUGGGAGGGUAGUCGAAUUACCCCACUGAUAGAAGAAACUAGGCACAACUGUUGCAUAUCACUUGUUCGACGAAUUGCCCGUGUGGUAAAUUUAGGCGCCGGUGAAGUCUGAGUAACCGAGCAACACUGGUAUAUGCUAGUGAAUAAGUGUAGGGUCGUUCGCCUUGAUUGUCGGAAUGUUUUGAGCCUAUGAAAGAUUGUCUAAGGGAAUUGAACAUCCGGCACAUGCUAGACGUCUUGAAUUGUCAAGUGUUACUCGAUUUGAAUUGUGUGAGCUCUAUGCAUUGAUAUGUCGUGAGAAUAAGUGUGGGGUCGAGUGAGCUGCUAUGUGUAAUUGAACAUGGUUAGUGAGCGUCGCUCGGAUAAACCUCAUGUUGUGCAUAAUGAUAUCUAUAUAGCGAAGUGCUUAUUUGUAAACUUGAAAAGAGUUAUCACAUCCCUGCUGAAAGCCAUGGGCUAUAGUUUCAUGAAGUAAUGAAUGACAUGACUAUGCAAAUGAUUGGAAGUGCAAGAUGUUGCAACUGCUUUAUAGCUGAACUUCACUGUUCUAUACGCUCAUUGUUGAUUUCUUCGCAUUGCAGGUACUGAGGCUAGGAAAUGGCAGCAACGAGCAAACAGUCCAAGCAACAAGACAAAGAUAAUAACAAGCAACAGCCCAAAAAGCCCACCGGAAAGGCAACAGGUGCUCUAAAUCCACAGAAAAAAAGGAAGCGGACUGACAAAGAGAAGGAACUGCAGACUAGGCAUUUAAUUGAUGAAUCAGAGCAAAAGGAGGAGGAACAAUUAGUAAGGAGGACAGUGAAGAAGGGUAUUACAACAUCAUUAAAUCCGCCAAGCAAAGGGAUAGAGAUAAGAGAACCUGUGCCGAACCAGAGAAAAGCCUCCAAACAGAGUGAUCCGAAUGAUAAAGGAAAGCAGAAGAUUACUGCAGAAUCUGAGUCCGAGUCCGAUUCGGAUAAUGAGCUUCUACAUGUCGACAUGAGUGAUGAAGAUGAGGGUGAACCAAUAGACCGAGCUGCUUGGGAGAAGAACUUUGUUAAUGAAAAGGCAUUCCGAGCUUAUAAUAAGAUACUGGGUUCAAAGAAGUACAUUCCAGAAAAGCCGAUCAACAUCGGAACACUUAAGAAAAAGUACCCAGAGUUUCUAAAAUCAAUUCGAGAGGUGCAACAAUGGGGACCUAUCUUGUAGGGUCACGGCAAAGCCAACCUCACUAUCGACAGAGAGCUUUACGCCAAUUGGCGUCAUUCCAGGGGCAGCAUUGUGAGAGUACGAGGGGUGGAUAUUAAUGUCUCAGCUGAAGCUCUGAAUAAUUUCUUAGGGGUGCCACACACACUAACAGAUAGGUUUGACUCCACAUGCACAGCACCGGAUUAUGCACACAUUCGGUCGGUCCUAUGCCCUACCAGGAAGGAUGCAAAUUGGAAGCAUGGGAGUAUGGAGUACCAUUCUCUGGCCAAGGAAUUCAUGAGUGCGUUAGCACGUGUGGCUCUAAAUUUCAUAUGCAACCGCCUGAUGCCAUGCCAACACAAAACUGAUGUCCCUCGUCACCGAGCACUAGUAUUGUAUGCUUUAUUGGAGGGGAUACCGCUCAACUUGGGAGCCAUCAUGCAUGACCAAAUGCAGCGCAUCAGGAUGAAUUACAAGUGGAGGUUGUUCUUUGCAAAUACCCUAUCGGCUUUCUUGACAGAGAUGGGAGUACUAUGGGACAAGGAGAAUGACAACAUUGAGGCUAAAGCUCCAGGACCAUAUGAUGUUACUCAUGUACUAGAGCCGAACAAGGGAAGGUCUUCUAAGCUCACCAUUCAACAGUUGUUUGAGUAGAUGCAAACUGAUAUGCAAGAGAACAGGGCUGAGUUGAUAGCGACUCGUGUAGAGUUGAGUGCCACCAGGGACGAGUUGAGUCAGACUCGUGCGAAUCUAAGCCGAGUUCAGACUGAGCAGGCCACGAUGAUGAGGGAGGUAUCAUUACUCCUCCGUGCUCUGGUUCAACGUGCAGAUAUAGACAUCUCAUAGCUGCUUGCAUCGUCCACUGCUGAACCAUCAACUUCUGCUUCUCCUAUAGUCCCCGAGGCCCCACACACCAUGCCUGUUGAGGCCGAUGUCCCACCUACUACAGACUCAGCUCCAGUUGGUGAUGAUGGGACUGUGACAGCUCCCCAUAUUCGUGAGGAUGCUAUCGCCAGGCCGGAGGGGGUCUUAAUGAAUGCAAUGGAUGCUGAUGCUCUUCCACAGACUGCGGAUGAGCCUUCCACCUUGACUUGAGGGGAGUUUCUUCUCAUCCUACUUUACGUUAUUUGUGUGCAUUGGGGGCAAAGCACGGUUUUAAAUGUGGGGUGGGGGUUAUCCUUAUGCUUGUGGAUGAAUGUACUUAACUGUUACAAUUUUUGUUGAUUUUGAUACUGUUGAGGGCUGUAAUAUUCACUGGAUUAAUGGCCUGUAAUAGUUAGUACAUGUCAUCUAUAUGGAGUAACUCUCAGUUCAUUGUUGUGUGUAGUCGUAGAAAAUAAAGGACUUUUCCCGACGACGGACUACCUGGACAGUUCUCUCGAG
This 2647-nucleotide long non-coding RNA is filed under the name Nicotiana tabacum (common tobacco). Its description in RNAcentral is "long non-coding RNA (NTAB_LNC013280)". Lineage: Eukaryota; Viridiplantae; Streptophyta; Magnoliopsida; Solanales; Solanaceae. The record is from RNAcentral.